CUGAGAGGGCGACCGGCCACAUUGGGACUGAGACACGGCCCAACUCCUACGGGAGGCAGCAGUGGGGAAUAUUGCACAAUGGGGGAAACCCUGAUGCAGCGACGCCGCGUGAAGGAAGAAGUAUUUCGGUAUGUAAUCUUCUAUCAGCAAGGAAGAAAAUGACGGUACCUGAGUAAGAAGUCCCGGCUAACUACGUGCCAGCAGC
This 205-nucleotide ribosomal RNA is filed under the name uncultured Lachnospiraceae bacterium. RNAcentral describes it as "partial 16S ribosomal RNA". It matches the Rfam family "Bacterial small subunit ribosomal RNA", at positions 292 to 515 of the family's 1533-position model. Lineage: Bacteria; Bacillati; Bacillota; Clostridia; Lachnospirales; Lachnospiraceae. The record is from RNAcentral.